This 301-nucleotide ribosomal RNA is filed under the name uncultured bacterium. RNAcentral describes it as "partial 16S ribosomal RNA". It matches the Rfam family "Bacterial small subunit ribosomal RNA", at positions 509 to 809 of the family's 1533-position model. The record is from RNAcentral.
CAGUAGCCACGGUAAUACAGAGGGUGCGAGCGUUAAUCGGAUUUACUGGGCGUAAAGCGUGCGUAGGCGGCUUUUUAAGUCGGAUGUGAAAUCCCUGAGCUUAACUUAGGAAUUGCAUUCGAUACUGGGAAGCUAGAGUAUGGGAGAGGAUGGUAGAAUUCCAGGUGUAGCGGUGAAAUGCGUAGAGAUCUGGAGGAAUACCGAUGGCGAAGGCAGCCAUCUGGCCUAACACUGACGCUGAGGUACGAAAGCAUGGGGAGCAAACAGGAUUAGAGACCCCAGUAGUCCCUGUCUCUUAUAA